GAUGAAGAACGCAGCGAAAUGCGAUAAGUAGUGUGAAUUGCAGAAUUCAGUGAAUCAUCGAAUCUUUGAACGCACAUUGCGCCCUUUGGUAUUCCAAAGGGCAUGCCUGUUCGAGCGUCAUUUGUACCCUCAAGCUUUGCUUGGUGUUGGGCGUCUUGUCUCUAGCUUUGCUGGAGACUCGCCUUAAAGUAAUUGGCAGCCGGCCUACUGGUUUCGGAGCGCAGCACAAGUCGCACUCUUUAUCAGCAAAGGUCUAGCAUCCAUUAAGCCUUUUUUUCAACUUUUGACCUCGGAUCAGGUAGGGAUACCCGCUGAACUUAAGCAUAUCAAUAAGCGGAGGA
Molecule: unclassified non-coding RNA, 341 nt
Filed under: soil metagenome
Description: partial contains 5.8S ribosomal RNA, internal transcribed spacer 2, and large subunit ribosomal RNA
Rfam family: 5.8S ribosomal RNA (bases 1-120)
Source: RNAcentral